AGCAUAUCAAUAAGCGGAGGAAAAGAAACUAACAAGGAUUCCCCUAGUAACUGCGAGUGAAGCGGGAAAAGCUCAAAUUUAAAAUCUGGCUGUCUCUGACUGUCCGAGUUGUAAUCUAGAGAAGUGUUAUCCGCGCUGGACCGUGUACAAGUCUCCUGGAAUGGAGCGUCAUAGAGGGUGAGAAUCCCGUCUUUGACACGGACUGCCAGGGCUUUUGUGAUGCGCUCUCAAAGAGUCGAGUUGUUUGGGAAUGCAGCUCAAAAUGGGUGGUAAAUUCCAUCUAAAGCUAAAUAUUGGCGAGAGACCGAUAGCGAACAAGUACCGUGAGGGAAAGAUGAAAAGAACUUUGGAAAGAGAGUUAAACAGUACGUGAAAUUGCUGAAAGGGAAACGCUUGAAGUCAGUCGCGUUGUCCAGGGAUCAACCUUGCUUCUGCUUGGUGCACUUUCUGGUCGACGGGUCAGCAUCAAUUUUGAUCAUUGGAGAAAGAUUAGGGGAAUGUGGCAUCUUUGGAUGUGUUAUAGCCCUUGGUUGCAUACAAUGGUUGGGAUUGAGGAACUCAGCACGCCGCAAGGCCGGGGUUUUACCACGUACGUGCUUAGGAUGCUGGCAUAAUGGCUUUAAUCGACCCGUCUUGAAACACGGACCAAGGAGUCUAACAUGCCUGCGAGUGUUUGGGUGGAAAACCCGAGCGCGUAAUGAAAGUGAAAGUUGAGAUCCCUGUCGUGGGGAGCAUCGACGCCCGGACCAGACCUUUUGUGACGGAUCCGCGGUAGAGCAUGUAUGUUGGGACCCGAAAGAUGGUGAACUAUGCCUGAAUAGGGUGAAGCCAGAGGAAACUCUGGUGGAGGCUCGUAGCGAUUCUGACGUGCAAAUCGAUCGUCAAAUUUGGGUAUAGGGGCGAAAGACUAAUCGAACCAUCUAGUAGCUG
RNAcentral lists this ribosomal RNA (930 nucleotides) under Cortinarius sp. PJ-2018a. RNAcentral's name for it is "LSU rRNA". It matches the Rfam family "Eukaryotic large subunit ribosomal RNA", at positions 37 to 953 of the family's 3401-position model. The record is from RNAcentral. Lineage: Eukaryota; Fungi; Basidiomycota; Agaricomycetes; Agaricales; Cortinariaceae.